CGGGGUCUUGAAGGAGUGGGCCGCUGCCCGGCUUGGGACGCCUCCUCCCGUGUCUUCUGCACCCUCUGGCUGGCCUCUGCGCCCCUGCGUUGGUUUUCCUCAUGCUCAGCCGGCCUAGAGUAGAUGUGGAGUGGGCAGGCCCUCUGAGCGGUGUGUCAGGCACAUCCGGACCCAGAGACGAGGAAUGGGACCCCGUGGGGGCCUGCCUGCUGGCAUAAGGAUACAGUCCCGUAAGAAGACCUAUCUCGGGAGGUGUCCUGCAGAGGGGAUCCGUGGAGCCUGGAAUUGGAGGCGGGUCCUGUGCCCCGGUGGAAAAACUCCCCCAACCUGGUGGGAGUCACAGCUGGAGAAGAGCUCAUCCUGGCGGCCUGGCCACUGUCCACUCUUCUGUGGCCACAGGGACAAUGCCUGUGUGGAGAGCCGGCUUCUCUGCACCUGCCUAAGAGAACGCCGCAAGUCGGUGGCAGACCCGGUUCUAGAGGCAAAGCCUUGCCCAGGUGUGGCCAUAACUGCCGCAGGCGUCGCGCUCAGAGCGACUGUUCUUCAUCCGUGGGAGGCAUGAAGCCCUUGGAAAAUCUCACAAACGUUAUGAACCUUCUCCCCAGGAAAACACGCAUACUCAUGCAGACACAAAAAUCUACAAACAAGUUCAGAGCUCCCGGACACAACCUGCCGUUCAUUCUUCACCGGACAUAGAGCCUGGGUCACUACACAAGUAGCACUUUCCCUCCCCCGGCUGAGCUUCCUGCCCUCGUCCAGGAAUAAAGGAUUCUGAGGAGGGGACCCUUCCACUCUCUUCUCUUGGGCCUGACCGUGCAUCAGGCUUCUGGAACCUUUUCUCCCUUCCGCGAACAUUGCUGGAGGCUCGCUGGGCUGGGUUUGCUCUUGUCUGGUUUGGGGCUGCUUGUGGUGGCUACCUGGCUGCUGGUUUUUGCCAUGCAGCCUGGACUUCGAUUUCACCGUAGAGGUGGCGGGGAAAGCUGGAAUUUCUAUGGAUGUGGGGUGAGCAUGAACUUGGACUGAGGCUACCUGGAGAGGGAUCCUGCUUCCAGCAGCCUAGCCGCGGCGGGCCGUCCCCUGCCAGACCAGGAGUUCAGCUGCAGCUGGGCAUGGGGUGGAGACGGCUGGGCAGGGAGACCGAGCCUCACUCCUGGGGCCUGCCAGUGCUCUGGUGUGGACAGUGGGACAGGGCUGACGACUUUGGUUUUCACCCUGAGCUGGUUGGCCUGGAGCUCACUGGCCUCCUCAGACUGAACCACUUGACCUGAAAAGAUGUGGGCGAUUAGGGCUGGGAUGGGUUUUUGAUGACAACCAACCGAUCGUGAUGCCAUUAUUUUUAGUGCAGUCCUUGGGGGUGGGGAGAGGCCGAUAGCCAUGGGAUUUGGUUCCAAGCCCAGCGAUGUAAGUUGUGUGGGUCUCAGUGCAGUUGUUCUGCUGGGAGGUCCCAGGGCCAAGCUAGGUUUGGUCAGGCUUGUCGGGAGGCCUCCCCAGCUCCUGGCCUGGGACCUUGCUGGUGGUGUCUCCCAUGCGGUCUGGCACAGAGGGUCUGUGGGCCACCUGCCAUCCGCCUCGUCCUGAUAUCAGACUGCUCAGGGGAAGAGCAGAGGAAGAGGAGGCAGUCUGUGCUCUAGAAGCUUCCAUGUGAUCUGACCCUUCGCCCGCCUGGAGGGAGCCUCGCAGAUGCACUGUCUUCUCUGCUGGUUGUCCUCUCUCUCCCUUCCCUGUAACUUGUCGCCCGCACCCACUGUUGCCUUCUCUGUCUUCCCUGGAAUUGCUCCAAAAUGUGGCCCUUCCCCCACCCUGCUGAUCCCUCUUCUCCGCCAGGCCCUCCAUCCUCGUCCUCCGAACAGUCCCUGUGUUGACACGCCAUCUCACCCUCGGGGACCCCGGGUUGUCCGUGCGCACGCAUGUGGAUGUGUGUGGGGGGGUCUCCAGCUAGACUGUGAGCUCCCCGAGGGCAAGGGACGGGCCAUGUCUUCUCGAAGCCCAACAGGGUCCAGCACGGGGCUGGGCUCCUAACACUCAGGAAAUACUUGUCAGCUGGCUGAUGGGUCCAGUGCUGGAGGCUGUGCGGGGACUGGCGGUGAGGAGAGGACCCGUGAGCUCCGCGUGGGUGCAUCUUGCUGGGUCGUGAGCUGGCUCCCCCGGGGCAGUAAUGGCCGUAGGGGCCCUCAGGUCCUCCCUUAUCUGGGGCAGCGGGGCAGGAGGGACCCCCGACAUGGCUACGCAGGAGUGCCGUGGUGUCGGGGCUGGAUAUUUCCGUUGGCCACUAAGACCGGCCGGGGCUGACCAAGUGGAAUAAAUGUUCCCUCGACAUCA
Molecule: long non-coding RNA, 2319 nt
Organism: Neogale vison (American mink)
Lineage: Eukaryota; Metazoa; Chordata; Mammalia; Carnivora; Mustelidae
Exons: 2
Source: RefSeq, a predicted model, not a curated record